CUGAUUACUGCAAUGCUCACUACAUGAGGCUACACCUUAAAACCAUCCAGACACCGAAUAUGGUGAGGAAUGUGGCAGCUCACAUGGCCAUAUUGCUGCAAUUGCAGUCUGCAGAGGCACCCGAGUUGGAGUCCCCUUACCGUAAGAGAGAGAAAUACUACCAGAGGGAGAUGAAGAAGCCAUAAGGAGCCAGACCUGCAGCCAACACCACAGGAGCUGGACCAGCCACCAGUAGACCACAACUGCACUGAGAUCUACACCCACAACUGCAUUAGGAUUUACUCCCACAACCACCACCACUGCCAUCGAACCCACUGAUGCUGGCCCAGGACCAGUUAUCACCAUGACAGCAGUCAGGGAUAGGAGAAGGAGUACUGGCUGACUGUGAUUAGAUCUAGUAGAACUGAAGAAACAGGAGAGUGGAAGAAAACCCGAUUGGAUGGUAGGGGGACAGGAGAAAGAGCACCAAAGGGCAGGGAACCUGAUUUGGAAGGAGGUGAGGAGAAGCAGCAGUGAUGGGUUUAGAGGAGGGUAGAAUUUUAAGAGGAGAAAGGGGUAGGUGAAUGAGGGAGCAGAGGGAAGGAAAUAGGAGGCUAGAGCAGGAAACUGUAGGCAGAAUGAGAUCAGGGGCAUGUCUGAAAGAGCAAUAGCUGGAACAGAACAGAGUUUUGAGGGGGUGUUUAUGGAGCAGAUCAUGGUCAGAGGAGUACUAAUUUUGAUUACCCCACUGAUUUGCAAAAAAUGGAUUAUGGGGUGAACUGACUGUGAUAGUGUGUAGAAUUGAAUUAGUGGGAGGAAAUUGAUUGUGACUUGGGGAAGCUGAUUAGGUAUAGUGGAGAAAUGAGAACUUAAGCUGAAUAAGAAACUGAAUCUAUACAGGAAGUUUCAGUUUGAUUUGUCCAUGGUAGUGAAGGAAAUUAUGUGGAUGGUUGAGAAGUACUGAAGAAUUGACUUUGAAUGGGAUGAGGAGGAGAGUUGCUUUUGGCCAUGUAGGCAGCCAGUCCAAGCCCAGUGGUGGUGAGUCUCGGUCUAGUGUUGAUAGAGAUGGCAGCCCACACUAAAAAGUAAGCUUCAGAGGCCCCAGUGUAAUUCUUCUAUAUACUAUUGUACCUUGUCACAUGAGUUUUGCCUCUUUUUAAAAAAAAAAAAAAAA
Long non-coding RNA from Caretta caretta (loggerhead turtle), 1153 nucleotides. RefSeq lists it as uncharacterized. The record is from RefSeq and is a predicted model, not a curated record. Lineage: Eukaryota; Metazoa; Chordata; Testudines; Cheloniidae.